Long non-coding RNA from Mercenaria mercenaria, 910 nucleotides. RefSeq lists it as uncharacterized. The transcript has 4 exons. The record is from RefSeq and is a predicted model, not a curated record. NCBI's taxonomy places the organism in Eukaryota, Metazoa, Mollusca, Bivalvia, Venerida, Veneridae.
UACAUUUAACUGCCUGUUCGGCUGUAUUUAUUUCAAAUAAACAAUUUUCUUGAGAAAAUUAAUCCUCGAUCGCAUAGUAGCCGCCAUGUUUGUUUACCAAGGUCUCUCAGCCAAUCAGGAGAUCGACGAAUAUUGUAUUUUUGUAAUGACAUAUUUGAUUGGCUAUAAGACCAAGGGCAAAUUGUUUGAAGUAUUUCUAUUGGUUGUCAAAGCGGUCGGGUUUAUUUGGCGGCAUUUUUAAAGAUUGAGAGAAGGAAGAUGUUUGUGACUGUUUUGCGACAGUUUUAGUCUGUAUAUAUCACGUUGACCAAAAGAUAAUCGUAGAGAAAUUGGAGCCGAGAAAUCUUUUGCCUUUUGUCCAGAAGUAAAACAUGCCUGAUGUCGGAAAAGAAGUCAAGAGAAAAUGUUUAGUGUGGAAAAAUUAACGACCAGGAACAACUCGGGAUCCCGAUCGAAUGCACAGAAGUGUCGCACAUAUAUGAGCCAAGAUUUGGCUAAUUAAAUGAUGCAUCAGAAUUGGCAGCAACAGAGCUUAGAAGACAGAGCUUAGAAGACAUCUGUCAGAAGCUUAUGGCUCUCCACACAGACUACAUGACUGUUGCAGCAAUAAAAGUUGAAAACAAGAACUUGAGUUCAGCUGCCCAACUUCAAAUUUAGAUGAGCCAGCUUUGCCAGCUGUAGUUCAGGACUUUAUCAUCUAGUAUAACAUAAGGCGGAUUCACAAAAAAAUCAUCAAGGAGAAAUUUGGUACUGGAGAAUCAUUUGUUCAGUUUCGUCUCAGGGACUUGUUGAACAUGUUGAAACCCUCGAGGAUGGGGCCAAGUGAAAACUAAGUAAAAAUUGACAUUUGGAAAUCAAUUGAAUUGUGAAUUGUGAUUAACAAGUGCAAAAUAAAAUUUAUUGUUUUACA